UUGCGAACGGGUGAGUAACGCGUAGGUAACCUGCCUGGUAGCGGGGGAUAACUAUUGGAAACGAUAGCUAAUACCGCAUAAUAGCAGUUGUUGCAUGACAGCUGUUUGAAAGGUGCAAUUGCACCACUACCAGAUGGACCUGCGUUGUAUUAGCUAGUUGGUGGGGUAACGGCUCACCAAGGCGACGAUACAUAGCCGACCUGAGAGGGUGAUCGGCCACACUGGGACUGAGACACGGCCCAGACUCCUACGGGAGGCAGCAGUAGGGAAUCUUCGGCAAUGGACGGAAGUCUGACCGAGCAACGCCGCGUGAGUGAAGAAGGUUUUCGGAUCGUAAAGCUCUGUUGUAAGAGAAGAACGAGUGUGAGAGUGGAAAGUUCACACUGUGACGGUAUCUUACCAGAAAGGGACGGCUAACUACGUGCCAGCAGCCGCGGUAAUACGUAGGUCCCGAGCGUUGUCCGGAUUUAUUGGGCGUAAAGCGAGCGCAGGCGGUUAGAUAAGUCUGAAGUUAAAGGCUGUGGCUUAACCAUAGUACGCUUUGGAAACUGUUUAACUUGAGUGCAAGAGGGGAGAGUGGAAUUCCAUGUGUAGCGGUGAAAUGCGCAGAUAUAUGGAGGAACACCGGUGGCGAAAG
This 637-nucleotide ribosomal RNA is filed under the name uncultured Bacilli bacterium. RNAcentral's name for it is "bacterial SSU rRNA". It matches the Rfam family "Bacterial small subunit ribosomal RNA", at positions 96 to 721 of the family's 1533-position model. Lineage: Bacteria; Bacillati; Bacillota; Bacilli. The record is from RNAcentral.